RNAcentral lists this long non-coding RNA (515 nucleotides) under Anser brachyrhynchus (Pink-footed goose). RNAcentral's name for it is "lncRNA (ENSABRG00000012632.1)". The record is from RNAcentral. Lineage: Eukaryota; Metazoa; Chordata; Aves; Anseriformes; Anatidae.
CUGAAAUGAAGUCUGCAUAGCCUGCUUGAGCACCUGAGCCAUCUGAGAAAUUAGUUUAAGCUGGGAUGCUGAACAGUCUUUCCCAGCAAUGUGGCAGCAGGGCUGCUCCAUGCAGGGAGGGAGGCAGAAGCAAGGUGGGCUGUGUCCACACUGACAAGUGUUCAUGCUUUGCUGCUGGUUCAGUCAGAGCCAUCAGUGUGUUACUGGACUUAUGAUGAAAUUUCAAGUAAAGGACAGAAAUGCCAUACUUCUUGCAGUACUGCCUGGAUUCAAGGGCAUGUUGUUUAUUUGUGGGCUUCUGAUACUGUGCUGCUAUCAAGCCUCCUUCAGAUGGGCCUUACUCAUGGAUUGGGGUACACAAGAUGCGAUGCAGUCCUUUUGUGAGGGGAAGUCCAGAGCAAUUUUGUUAUGUUUGAGAAGCAGACUAUCUUUGAGGAGAGCUUCGUUAACCUGAAGAAUGUGCCUACACCAGGAUUUCUCCUGCUAUAUUUUUAGAGAGCUUGGUGUUUAUCUAG